This is a long non-coding RNA of Impatiens glandulifera, 477 nucleotides long. RefSeq lists it as uncharacterized. The transcript has 3 exons. Lineage: Eukaryota; Viridiplantae; Streptophyta; Magnoliopsida; Ericales; Balsaminaceae. The record is from RefSeq and is a predicted model, not a curated record.
AAGUGUAUUUUCUUUUAAUUACAUUAAAAUUUCUUAGUUAUGUUGAGUUGCGUUUACAUUUUGUUUUCUGAUCUGAAUCGUUAAGCCACCCAACGAGCAGUCAAUCAAUGGCGGAGAAAAACUUCAAAUACGGCAUCCUAGGUGGCAACGCAAGUUUGUGAAGGAGGAACGAGAGAUUGAAAUUGGGCUUCCAACUGAUGUCAAACAUAUUGCACGUAUUGGAUGGGAUGGAGCCUCUGACAAUCCUCCACUUGGAUGAAUUAAUUCAAGAUAAAGCCCAACAAGGUUCCUGCAACUGCAAAUGUCAAUGCCAAUAUCGAGGAGACAAGAUCCCACAACUCUGCAAUCUUAACAUGCUAAUCUCAAGGUUCUCAUCUUCGAUUUCUCAAAUGUCUGAUAUUUUUCCUAAAUGCACCUGAAAUUUUGAAAAUCUUGUUCAAUAGAGGAUUGAAUGAUUCUUUAGUAGAGGCAAAUUAU